CCAUUUGGAAUGGUUUUUCUCGUUCUCCAAGUAAAAGUAAUCAAAUGGUAAUGGUAGGAAAGUGAUCGCGAAAACAGAACCUCGUUAAUUCACAAAAUCAAAUGAUCAGUUCCAUGGCCUACUCUACAAACAUUGACAUGAAUAUGUUUUCAAUAUCUUCUGCAAUUGUCAAAACCAACCCCAAUCGGAGGGUCUACGUUUGGAGUGUGUUUUGAGAAAGAUGCAAAUCAAAAUGUGCUGGAAUCAGAAGUAGACUCAACAUGAUUUGCUGCAGCAGGUUUACGGAUCAACCAGUAGUUUACAAAUGCCCAAAGCACAUGAUGACCGAGCCAGACUUUCUGUGGAAUAUGGUACUUUCCCGAGUUCACUGUAGUUUUUAAGUCAGUUUUGCCGGGAAGCCCUAUAGACGACAGCUUCUGUCGUCGCGACGCCAGCACCGCGACGCCAGCACCGCGACACCAGCACCGCGACACCAGCACCGCGACGCCAGCACCGCGACGACUGCACCCCGGCCGCGGUGCCGCGGGCCGACGCCGAGGACACCGAGAAGAACGACAAGGCUUGUGCGUGAGCGUCAAGCAGGAAGUUCCCCCGGUCCCCUCUCGUUGCAUUUUCAGUUUUUCUUUUAAAGUUGUUUGUCUUGUGAUACCAAUAAAAUGUGAUAUUGUGC
This is a long non-coding RNA of Frankliniella occidentalis (western flower thrips), 670 nucleotides long. RefSeq lists it as uncharacterized. The transcript is spliced from 3 exons. NCBI's taxonomy places the organism in Eukaryota, Metazoa, Arthropoda, Insecta, Thysanoptera, Thripidae. The record is from RefSeq and is a predicted model, not a curated record.